CCCGCUGAGUUUAAGCAUAUAAAUAAGCGGAGGAGAAGAAACUUACGAGGAUUCCCCUAGUAACGGCGAGCGAACCGGGAGAUGCCCAGCUUGAGAAUCGGGCGGCCGCGCCGUCCGAAUUGUAGUCUGGAGAGGCGUCCUCAGCGACGGACCGGGCCCAAGUCCCCUGGAAAGGGGCGCCUGGGAGGGUGAGAGCCCCGUCCGGCAUAUAUAUGUAUAUACAUACAUACGUAUAUAUAUACAUACGUAUAUAUAUACAUACGUAUAUAUAUAUAUGUACGUAUAUAUAUAUAUAUGUAUAUAUAUAUGUAUAUAUAUA
Molecule: non-coding RNA, 319 nt
Filed under: Oryza sativa Japonica Group (Japanese rice)
Lineage: Eukaryota; Viridiplantae; Streptophyta; Magnoliopsida; Poales; Poaceae
Description: rRNA LSU_rRNA_eukarya
Rfam family: Eukaryotic large subunit ribosomal RNA
Source: Rfam by way of RNAcentral